Molecule: transfer RNA, 80 nt
Filed under: Exiguobacterium sp. SL14
Lineage: Bacteria; Bacillati; Bacillota; Bacilli; Caryophanales
Description: tRNA-Thr
Rfam family: tRNA
About the family: Transfer RNA (tRNA) molecules are approximately 80 nucleotides in length. Their secondary structure includes four short double-helical elements and three loops (D, anti-codon, and T loops).
Source: RNAcentral
GCUUAGGUGUAGCUCAGCUGGUAGAGCAACUGACUUGUAAUCAGUAGGUCGCGGGUUCGACUCCUGUUGCUUAAGCACCA